UAAAGUAAAGAAUUUACACCUAACUUCGAAUUAGAUUUUUAACUUAAAUAGUUUAU
This 56-nucleotide transfer RNA is filed under the name Cleptes metallicorpus. RNAcentral's name for it is "tRNA-Arg". Lineage: Eukaryota; Metazoa; Arthropoda; Insecta; Hymenoptera; Chrysididae. The record is from RNAcentral.